Molecule: long non-coding RNA, 2448 nt
Filed under: Marmota monax (woodchuck)
Lineage: Eukaryota; Metazoa; Chordata; Mammalia; Rodentia; Sciuridae
Source: RNAcentral
AGAGAAGGGAAUUUGCAUGGAAAUGGAAGGAGACCCUCAUUGUUAUACAAAAUUACAUAUAAGAGGAUCUAUAGGGAUCCCUACUUAUCAGUUACAACAUUUAUUUGCUACUCUAGAAGGUGAUACUGAAUUACAUAGUUCUUCAAACUUUAAACAAACAUUACAAAAAUUAACCUUAAUUGAACAAUGUUUAAAUGAAUGAUAUUUAUCUUAUAUAGAUUUAGAGAAAUACAUACAACUAAUUCUCUUUCAUACUCCUCAUCCCCGUCUGGAGUGCUAAUUCAAAAUGAUCAUAUAAUAGAAUAAUUUUUUUACCUAAUAAGUAUAAUUAAACGAUUAACUACAUAUAUAGAUAAACUGGACUUUUUAAUAAUUAAAGGUAGAUCUAAACUGUUACAAUUGAGUGGUAGAGAGCCAAAUCAAAUUAUUACUCAAAUAACUCAUCAACAAAUUUCUUAUAAUCUAAAAUUAAAUGAAAAUUGGCAAAUUGCUUUAGCCAGUUAUUCUUGAGCUUUAUCUACUCAAUAUCCUAAAUCUAAAAUUUUGAAUUUUUUUGGAAAAUAUUCUGUGAUAUUAGUAAACCCUAUUUCGUGAAUUCCUCUUUCCAGUAUUACUGUUUUUACUGGCGCAAACUAAACUUCAGCAGGAUACUGGACUCCCAUAGCUUCUAAAGUGUAUCCUCAUGAGUUUUCCUCUGUUCAACCUGCUGAAUUAUGGGCUAUUACUUUAGCUUUAUUAGACUUUUCCAAUGUUUCUCUUAAUAUUGUUUCCGACUCUCAGUAUGCAGUUUUGGUGUGCACACAUCUACCUUCAGUUAGUCUUCCUAUCAAUCCAAAAACCAUUAUUGAGAAAAUAUUUGCAUUUACACAAAGAUUAUUAUUACAGAGAACUAUUUCAGUAUGUUUUACUCAUAUUAGGGCACAUUCUACACUGCCAGGACCAUUAACUAAAGGAAAUCAAAAUAUUGAUCAGCUAUUGUUCCCUUUACAAAAGGCACAUCAAGAACAUGCUUUACUUCAUACAAACACAAAAGGACUUUACAGAAAAUACAAAAUAAUCCAAAAGCAAGCACGUGACAUUGUAGCUAACUGAUCAUCAUGUACUCUUUUUUAAUAUCCCUUACUGUCCUCCUGGUGUUAAUCCAAGGGGACUCCAUCCUAAUGCCCUUUGGCAAAUGGAUGUUAUUAUAAUUCAGUCAUUUGGAUGACUAAGAUAUGUACAUCAUACCAUUGAUAGUCAUACUCAUUUUCAACGGGCCACAGUGUUUUCUUCAGAAAAAGCCAAUGCAGUCAUUUCUCAUUUAUUAUCUUUUUUUGCUAUCAUGGGAAUUCCUAAAGAACUUAAAACUGACAAUGUACCUGCAUAUACGUCACAAAAAUUACAUUCGUUUUUACAGAAAUAUGACAUUACACAUACUUUUGGUAUACCAUAUAAUAGUUAGGGUCAAGCUAUUAUAGAAUGGGCAAAUAGUGCAUUACAAGAAUAUAUACAUAAAAUAAAAAGGGGGGAAAUGGCUAUGGCUUAUGCACCUCAAUAUCUACUUCAUAAAACCUUACUGUUUUUGUAAAUGAGCCAAAGCAGAAGCGAUUAGAGAGGUUUCAUGUUUCAGUUGUUUUCACCUUUCCCAACGUUGGAAGACUAUAUACAAAACAAAACAUAAAAUAAAAAUUAUUAGAGUGUUACCAAAAGAAGUUGACAACAAGGUAGAGAAAUGACCUAAAGGAUUCAAAUUAGCAAUACUUGAAGACAAUCCGCAUAAAAUGUCAGAUCCUGUCAAAUCAGGUAACGUCUUACUAAAGGUGUCCAUAAUAGUUUUUUUCCAAAUUCAAUAUUUCUAAAGUUAAACUUUGAUGUCCAAUUAACUGUCUUUUAACAGUUUCCCAUGAAUCACUGGUGUUAUAUGGUACAGGAGUCACACAAAUAUGAGAAGAAUUCCAGUCACACUUCAGAACAUUUCUGGUAGCCAAAAUAGUUACUUGAUCGCCAAGCCAGGAAACAGAAUGUUCUAAAUUUAUCAUAUCUGUAGCCAAUUGAGAGUCUAAAUCUUUUUGUUGUUGCCCUAAUAAACAAGCAUCUUGAUGCCAUGUACUCAUGAAGUCCGCAGUUUGAAUGCCUUGAUGUAAAGUAAUGCCAGCUAUAGCAGCAGUGGCAGUUAACAGAAGUAACCACAAGGAUUGAAGCUAUAACUAUUCCUAUCAAUCAUUGAGAGCGAUGUAAUAAAACUUGAAUAGCAUUGUACAAAUGAGUAACAGACAAAGAAUCAGACCAAGGACGGGUUAAAUUAACAGGCAUCCACAACUCUGUGUGAGCCUUAACAAUAACUAAAGAAUAAUUAUUAGAUUCUACUAAAUUCCAAAUAGUUCUAUUUACAUAUUGAGUAAGAUUACAGUCUUCACAUGAUAUUGUUCCCCAAGUUUCAUUCCAUACCCAGUUUCCAAUCAUUAGAGA